UGCUAGGAAAGGGGACAUUCAAAGGAAAAACAUUAGUCGGAAUUGAAUUUAACACAUUCUUACCCUUAUUGGAUGAAUUGGACAGAUUUGGAGCCAUGGGGGCCAUGGACACUUGCGGCACAGGUGUGUCCAUCCUUGCCGUGGGUGGGCUUGAUUCCUCCUCUUCCAUUUGCAACAUUUCAUCCUCUUUGGGACCUGUUUUUGAUGAAGAACCUACCCCAACCUCCUUACCACUUCUUAGGGUGAUUGCUUUGGCUGAUUCAAACCCUCCCUUUGGAUUUGGAAUGGUAGAACUAGGGAGCCUUCCUUGGUCUCUAAUCUGCCCAACAACCUCGGCAAUCUGUCCCAUUUGUUUCUCUAGUUGGUCCACCCUUUUGUUUUGAUU
Molecule: long non-coding RNA, 385 nt
Filed under: Malus domestica (apple)
Lineage: Eukaryota; Viridiplantae; Streptophyta; Magnoliopsida; Rosales; Rosaceae
Description: long non-coding RNA (MDOM_LNC020688)
Source: RNAcentral